Long non-coding RNA from Panthera uncia (snow leopard), 1301 nucleotides. RefSeq lists it as uncharacterized. The record is from RefSeq and is a predicted model, not a curated record. The transcript is spliced from 4 exons. NCBI's taxonomy places the organism in Eukaryota, Metazoa, Chordata, Mammalia, Carnivora, Felidae.
UGACGUCCCAGGAGCCCACGGAGCAGCUGGAGACCGGCCACCCCGAGGAUGGCAGGGCCGGGCUCUCCGGGGAGGACGGCGGGGCCGAGGACGUGCUGGGCAUGAAUGGGGCUCUUCCUCGGUCUCACCUGCCUGUGUCCCCAUCCUGCCCCUGACACCGGCACUCGGAUUUCCCUGCCUCCUCUUGCAAGACCUUUCUGGUGAUGCUUUAACCUGGAGGUUGACACGCGUCUUCCCUCUAGGAGGGGCUUAUGGCUCUCCUUCCACAGCCUGGUGUGUCCGUAGAUGAGAGGUAGAAUGGGGAGUUUAAGGAACUUCGGCGUCUCAGCUAAGUUCCUGAAUCCCAGGGAAGGCACGAGGCUGUAAGAACUUGGUCAAACGAGCAUGAGGAAGUUCCCGAGACUUAAAUCUUCCCCCCAGAGUCACAGACCUUCCGCUUCUCUAUCCCCUGCUUCCUUUGAGCCCCUCCGGGUCCCCUCCCGUGCCCACCUGUCCAGCGGCUGUGACCACACAGUGCAAGGCCGUGUCGUCCUCGGCAACCUCACUUAUCUCCGAAACAGCCAUCAAAGCAGGACUCCGAGGAGAAGCUGGUUCUCUGCUCAGUUGUGUCUAACUUGGGCAGAUCGACACCUUCCUUCCUGAGCACACUUGGAUCCUCACACACGAAGAUUUCCUUGUUAUGCCCAACAGACAGCAUCUUUUCUGUCUGAAGUCUGUUUUGUAAGCCACAAAAACCUGUGUGAUGUUACAGCGGACAGACUGAACCAAGUGUCGCGAUCUGCUCUGGGGAAAAUGUUGCCUCCGUCAGCUGAUGAAGAAAUAAUAGUGAAGCGCGCAGGCCGCAGAAGUCACAGUGCUACUGUCAUAGGACCAGGACAGUCCCCUAAACGUGGCCCUUCUUCCCAGGUGAGCUCCUCCUUAGAAUAUUCUGGCGCCCAGAGUCUUGGCGACCACCCCAGCUUUGUGUCUUCCUCAUGCUUGGGAAGCUCCUCUGCGUCCUCAGCCGGCAUUGGGUAACAGGGCUCAUUUGGACCGAGAAAAGCCCCAACUCAAGACGACCUAACGUCCCAACACUCUUUCCCAAUGCAACUGCUGAGCAGACAGUAUCUCACUCCCGGAGGGAAGGUCUGGAGUCCCCGCUAACCCAGGCGCUCCCUGUAGGUAGGGAGAACCUCUUUUUGGGUCAUGUGAGCAGACAGGAUCUGAAGUCCCAGGUGACUCUCUGGUGUCCUUUGAGAUGCAGCCUUGUCCUCUGUUCCCAUGUUAGUGACAUUCGUGUAAUAUAAUUGCUUCCUAAAGGA